GCUCUUGGGUUGUAAACCCCUUUUCUCUGGGAAGAAAGUUGUGAAAGCAACCUGACGGUACCAGAGGAAUCAGCAUCGGCUAACUCCGUGCCAGCAGCCGCGGUAAGACGGAGGAUGCAAGCGUUAUCCGGAAUGAUUGGGCGUAAAGCGUCCGCAGGUGGCAGUUCAAGUCUGCUGUCAAAGACCGGGGCUUAACUUCGGAAAGGCAGUGGAAACUGAACAGCUAGAGUAUGGUAGGGGCAGAGGGAAUUCCUGGUGUAGCGGUGAAAUGCGUAGAGAUCAGGAAGAACAUCGGUGGCGAAGGCGCUCUGCUGGACCAUAACUGACACUCAGGGACGAAAGCUAGGGGAGCGAAUGGGAUUAGAUAC
This 368-nucleotide ribosomal RNA is filed under the name uncultured Oscillatoria sp. RNAcentral's name for it is "bacterial SSU rRNA". It matches the Rfam family "Bacterial small subunit ribosomal RNA", at positions 414 to 785 of the family's 1533-position model. The record is from RNAcentral. Lineage: Bacteria; Bacillati; Cyanobacteriota; Cyanophyceae; Oscillatoriales; Oscillatoriaceae.